Molecule: long non-coding RNA, 197 nt
Filed under: Ixodes scapularis (black-legged tick)
Lineage: Eukaryota; Metazoa; Arthropoda; Arachnida; Ixodida; Ixodidae
Description: uncharacterized LOC121833869, transcript variant X2
Source: RNAcentral
GACCGGGGUUGGAGAAUGAUGCCGGAGGAAUCUUGCACUGAUGGCAGUGGUCCCCCUGGAGUGGCAGUGGGGGGCUCACCAUGUGCAGGAACCCUGGAGUCCGGCCGAGGUACCCCUGCGUACCCCUUGGCGAGUUCUUUGUUGGUAAACUUCAUCUUGGCGGGCAUCGACAAUUCUUGGACCGCCAAAGUCCUGAC